AUAUAAGUUGAUUUUAAGUUUGAUGAAUUUUUUUUGGCUAUUUAGUUAGUUAUUUGAUUUGGUUAUGAUUUGGAAAACUUCUAAAAGACUUCUCAAACAGACUUCCAGACGACUUUCCAAGAAGUCUUCUGACAUAUUCCCGCUAAAAUUUUAGUAGAAUUUUAGUUUUUCGCCUAAAGCAAAGUCUUCGAAAAUUCUUCUCAUGUAUUUGAUUUUAGGGUCUAGAAGACUUCCCAAAGAGUCUUACGUAUCGAAAAUAUUUAACCUAAUUGGAAAUUUUAUCUCCAUAUAUAAAGAAAUUUUACACAUUAUUUUUCUUUCUCUCAAAUGGCUACAACAAAAAUAUAAUAUUUUUCACUCUAAAACUCUCAAACCUCUCUUUAAUCUCUUUGAACAUCAAAACACCAAACUUUAAAUCCAUUUCUCAUUUUUUCCUUAUGUUUUCUCACUAAUUUAUCUUCUUUUUUUUUGCAGAUUUUUCAUUACAUGGUUCUCAUCUUUCACUCCUUCAAACGUAGAUCUAUAAAUU
This 529-nucleotide long non-coding RNA is filed under the name Brassica napus (rape). RNAcentral describes it as "long non-coding RNA (BNAP_LNC005705)". The record is from RNAcentral. Lineage: Eukaryota; Viridiplantae; Streptophyta; Magnoliopsida; Brassicales; Brassicaceae.